This is a small nuclear RNA of Mastomys coucha (southern multimammate mouse), 115 nucleotides long. RefSeq annotates it as U5 spliceosomal RNA. The record is from RefSeq and is a predicted model, not a curated record. The transcript has a single exon. Lineage: Eukaryota; Metazoa; Chordata; Mammalia; Rodentia; Muridae.
AUACUCUGGUUUCCCUUGGGAUGAUAUAAAUCUUUCAUCCUUUACUAAAGAUUACAGAGGAGAGGAAUACCUUUGAGUCUUGAGCCAAGUUUUUGAUGAGCCAAGUUUUUGACAA